UUUUGACUGCAUUCUAGUUAAUUGAAAAAAUUCUAGUACCUAGAAGAUACUGCACAAAUCAAGAUGUUUACUUAGAUACGCCUUUUUAUGACAAAUUAUUGGCUACUCCUUUUUCUAUAAAAUUCAAGUGAAGACAGUGAUGCUGAAGUCAUUUCUGAACCUGAAGAUGAGAUGAUUCUUGAACCUGAAGACGGUCACGAUGCUUCUCAAGAAACUACUCUUAAUAGGUAUGACACAUUUCUACUAUUAGAUGGCCUAAAAAGGUUGUUUCACUUGUUAUAGAGAUAUAUAUACAACAUUCGUACACAAACUUCUCCAAAAAAGCAACGUCUUUUAAAAUAAUACUUAUAAAAUUUAGAGAAACAUUUGUCGACGCCUUGAUUGGAGAAGAAUUUGACUAGUUUAAAAAAAAAAAAAAAAAAAAAAAAAAAAAAAAA
Long non-coding RNA from Stegodyphus dumicola, 437 nucleotides. The record is from RefSeq and is a predicted model, not a curated record. NCBI's taxonomy places the organism in Eukaryota, Metazoa, Arthropoda, Arachnida, Araneae, Eresidae.